RNAcentral lists this small RNA (28 nucleotides) under Bombyx mori (domestic silkworm). Its description in RNAcentral is "ovarian small RNA-33717". The record is from RNAcentral. Lineage: Eukaryota; Metazoa; Arthropoda; Insecta; Lepidoptera; Bombycidae.
UGCCCACAGGGGCGGUGACGUGUCUUGU